GUCGCUACUACCGAUUGAAUGGCUCAGUGAGGCCUUCGGACUGGCUCAGGGAGGUUGGCAACGACCACCCCGAGCCGGAAAGUUGGUCAAACUCGGUCAUUUAGAGGAAGUAAAAGUCGUAACAAGGUUUCC
This 132-nucleotide ribosomal RNA is filed under the name uncultured Ascomycota. RNAcentral describes it as "partial small subunit ribosomal RNA". It matches the Rfam family "Eukaryotic small subunit ribosomal RNA", at positions 1675 to 1804 of the family's 1831-position model. The record is from RNAcentral. Lineage: Eukaryota; Fungi; Ascomycota.